This 4073-nucleotide long non-coding RNA is filed under the name Nicotiana benthamiana. RNAcentral's name for it is "long non-coding RNA (NBEN_LNC027905)". Lineage: Eukaryota; Viridiplantae; Streptophyta; Magnoliopsida; Solanales; Solanaceae. The record is from RNAcentral.
AAGACGCGCACUGUUCAUCCUUUUCUUCAUCUCAGCCUCGUCCAAACUCGUCAAAUCUCAGGCAAGUGAGCCAAAAUCACUCACAUGCACCUUAUCUCACCACGUCAGUAAGAUUCUAACGGCUUCUAACAUUUUUUUCGUCUCUCAUGUGCUGGAUUUUUUUGGGAAUUUCUGGAGAAUGAAGUCCGAAAAAUGGGAGUCGUGGAUUAAUUUUGAAUCGAUCCUCUCCUUCCAUAUGUCCGGAUUUGCUCUAAAAAGGAAUUUUUUUGGAUUUCUUGAAAAAAAGGAGAGAAACUUCGAGAGAGGGGUAUAUAUAUACCCAUGUCUGAGUUCAGGAUGGAGGAGGUUUUGUUAGGCAGAUUUUUAGGGUUCUAGAAAGGCUUCUCUUCUUGUCUUUUGAUUGAUCUGCAUUUUUCUUUUGUCGAAUUCCAGUCACAAAAUCAAAAAUACAAAAAAAAAUGUUUUGUCUAAUAUUAGCAACUCUGUUCUAUUCAUCUAAAAAUUUAGAAAUUUCAUCUUCAUUAUGAGUUGGAUUGAGGUUCGAGAUAAGGUGUUAGUAGCCGAUUGUUUAUGUCCGAGUUUGUUGUUUGGUUCAAAUUUUUGUUCUAGCUGUGGUAUCGAUUUUGUUGGUAUAGUUGCUGAAGAGUUUCGAGGAAUUGAAACUCCAAUCUUCAGGUGCAGUUCCUUCUUUCUUCUCAUGUCUCUGUAUGUGUGGAUCCAAGUAUGGUUGAGUCUUAAGAUAUGGAGAUUGAAAUUACAUUUUUGUUCAUUAUAAAUUAGUGUGUUUGAGUUCAAUAUGUGAUUGGAACAUCCUGCGAGGUCGGCUUUGCUUUCUUUUGGUUUGAAUGAUUGAAGUUUGAAUCGAGUCUGUGGUUGUUAUACGAGGUGCAUUGUCUGUUUGUUGAUUCAGUAGCAUUUACAACACUUCUCACACGUCUCUAAUGCAAUACAAGCUUAUGAAAUUAACACUAGUUGUCUUUUGUUGCUUUUAUGUUGCCUAGUCAAUAGUAUUUACCAAGACCUACUACGAAUGCUCAAAGAUAAGCGAUUCAAUGCUUGUUCUAAAGCUGUAGCUGGUCUAGACUUCAACUAUCCAAGUAGAAUUAAUUUAAAUUUCAGUAAUAGCUUAUUAAGGUUUGGUUCAUUCUAGUCAUGUUUAGUUUAGUUUUACAUUCGCGUGGCUUGUUCACCUCAUCUUGGUUCGUAGAACUGUUGUACAAAUGCUACCGCUGUUAUUUUUCUUGUUCUUGUCCAGUUCAUUCGCUAGUUCUUCUAUUGAUAAUCCGUCAUUUGGUUUCUCUUGCUGUUCUGCUCUUGUUAGGUGCGUCUGCCAAUUUUCCAUUGUCCUUUAUUAGGCUGUGAAGAAUGUUUGAGUGUUAAUUCCAUAAACAUGUCAAAUCUAAUGGAAUCUAGCUAUUUUGAACAUCAAAUCUGUCUUGUUUUCUCUCUCUUAAAUUGGGAAGUUCAUUGAGUUGCUGUUAUUUGAAAUUUUGAACUGGUGUUAUUCCACUGUCAUUAUACGUAAAUAAUUCUAGUGCCUAAAUUUCAUGUUGCUACUUCUGAAUUCUAUGGUAUUUUCUUCUCUUUUUUGUUUACAUGCAUUUUGAAUGGUUUUGGUGAGACUGAGAAUUAUAUUGCCAAAAUGGUUACCGCCUGCUAGAUCUUUCGAUAAUUCAUUUGGUCGAAGAUGCUUGUUUCAUAAUGUCGCUUAAUUGGUUCUUUGGAUUAGUUUGUCGGAUUAGAGACUCUAAUGAUUUGAACAAGUUAUUAGUUGGCUUGGGGUUUAAACGUUGAAUAAAUUUGACAACCUGAUUAUUUCUUUAUUUCAUGAGAUUAUGGUUUGGGUUUGUUACUGUCUUAUUUUGUUCAAUAAAUGUUCAAGGAGUAUUUUUGGGAAUCUGGAACUUACAGUUGUUAAUGAGUGGAUAAUAUAAUCUUUGAUGAAUGUUUAGGUAUUUUUGGUUUUGAAUUAAUGUCAUUUGGAGUAUAACAUUAGAAUGAAAUCUGAUGUUUUCUUCCCAUUUUCUCGUGCAAUGUAUAGGAGAACCCCUUUUGUUUUUUUCCCUUUCUCAUAGAAUUGUACUUAGUAGGAUUGUAUAUCUCGUCCUCUCGUUGUUGGUCUAUUAGUUUAAAUUGAUCCGAAAUUUUAGUCUUAAAAGUGUUGAUAAUUAUUUCCUCUAAUUAAUUGAAUUUUCACUAGUUACAUUGUGAGGUGAGCCAUACUAGAUAAUAUAAAUAGUUUAUGGCCAUCCGAAGUUUAAGUCGAAUUCCCUUUUUAGAAUUGGAAUUGAGGUGCGUCGAGCCAAAUAAAAUCUCAAAUGCAUGGGCCUCAUUUAAUUAUUUCUUUUAUAUCCUUAGAACUCGAGGCGUGCCAUUUAGCAAAUUUUUCAUGGCCCUCACAAAGUAAAAAACGCUUAGUUGCUUUAGGCGCAUCAUUUUAAUUAUUUAGCUUCCUAAACUCAGGUGUGCAUUUCAUGUGACCCAAAUUCAAAUCUUAAUAACGUUGAGCAAAAUGUAUUUCGGAUUGCGGGUGCAUUUCAUGUGGCGCAGUCCAAAGAUAUUUUUCAGACGACGUUAAAUCUUCUUAAUAAAAGUUGUUUUUAAGUUAAAAUGCACGUAGGUUUGAAAGUGUUCUAAAAUUAGAUAAUUAGGCCAAUAAUAACAGUUGAGCGGCCGUGAUAGAACCACGGAACUCGGGAAUGCCUAUCACCUUCUCCCGGAUUAACAGAAUUCCUUAUUCGUAUUUUUAUGUUUGCGGAUUGUAAUAUAGAGUUAAUAUUUUUCUCGAUUUGGGAUUUAACACGUGACUUGGGACAUCAUAAAUUAUCCCAAGUGGUGACUAUAAGUUUUAAUUAAAAUUAAUUCCAUUUCGAUUGUUACUUUAAGUUAGAAAAAACUCCCCUUAAUACCCUUCUAAGGGUGUAGGAAAAAGGAGGUGUGAGAAUGUUUUGAUUGCUAUACGUCAUUUCUUGAUAUUUAUGCCUUUACUUAUUACUUGACAUUUAUUUGUUACAAGUUUUCAUUUAUUCAUUCCCUGAUUUUACAUGUUUUGCCUGCUAUAUGCUCCCACCUGUAUUAAAUAAAUGUCUUUACUGUUUCAUGCCUUUAUGUCUUUACCUUACUUGUUGCGCUUAUUUAUACUAUAACCGAUUGUGUGAGCGCUUCGCUAUUCUUGCGUUAAUGACUUGUCGAGCUUCGUGUUGGCUUACACAUGAGUAUAUUUUACACAUUUGAGUUAUUGGUUGUCCUCUAUUUGUCUCGUAGUUCCUUGGUAAUUUAUACGCUUUAGUUCCUUUUUUGGUUAUGAUUUUAGAAUUAAUUAUAUGACUUUUAAAUAUUAACGAAACGAUAUUGCAAACGGGUUGCACACUGCAAUAAAAAGAAAAUGAAAUGGUAUUGGGUUCAGGUUGCAUGCCGAAAAUUGACAUGAUAUUGGGAUGGGAUUGCUUGCCGCAACUGAUAUUAAAAUGAUGUUGGUAUCGAGUUGCUCCCCAUAACAGUUGUUAUUUUGGUAUUAGAUCGGGUUGCACGCCGCAAUCGGAGAUGACCUGUUGUAAUUGUGUAUAAUUGUGGUGUUCUAUUUCUGUUCACUAUGAUAAGAGGGUAUGCGAUGAUGUUAUUCUGAGGCCAUCUGUUAGUUAACCUUCUGAUCCCGUUGUUAUAAGUUUAUCUGUUUUCUCUAUAUUUCUGUUAUUUUCUAUUGAUUAUUCGUACAGGUUUGUAGUGAGUGUUUUGUCAUAGCCUCGUCACUACUUCAUUAAUUGCAAAAGGCUCAACACUUACAGAGUACAUGGGAUCGAUUAUACUCAUACUAUAAUUUUGUUCUUCUUGUGCAGAUCCUGAUGUUCGUCCUAGUGGCAUAUAAAGGAGAUGGCCAAAUUUGAUCUAUCCAUGAAAUUGGAGGUAGAGCUGCACGGUGUUCACAAUCUGUGAAGUCCCAUUCUAUCUUGUUUUACUAUUUAACUUAUUUCAAAAAGUUGUGAUAGCUUAUUUGGGUCCACCACACGAUAGAGUACUUAGUCCUCUAUGAGACUGAUACGUUGAAAGCAGUAAAGACUGAAUGUAAAGGAGGC